AUUUAUGAAAAAUAGAUAUUAAGUUAAUUGAGUAAUUUAAGCACUAACAUAAUGAAAAAAAUUUUAAAAAUUUAAUGCAUGUUUUUUUAAUUUUUUAGGCAAAAAUUAGAGCUAAAAUCAAGUAAAAAUAUCUUUAAAAUAAUUUUUAUAGCCUUCGAUGCACGAUGGACCGAUCGCUCGGUCCAUAAAUUCAGAGGUGCGGUCCAUCGAAAAUGAUUCACGGUCUAUGGCGCGGUCCACGAUGAGCGAAUGCUUUUUCGCAUGAUUCGAUGGCCCAAAUUCAUCCCGAACC
Molecule: long non-coding RNA, 292 nt
Filed under: Elaeis guineensis (African oil palm)
Lineage: Eukaryota; Viridiplantae; Streptophyta; Magnoliopsida; Arecales; Arecaceae
Description: long non-coding RNA (EGUI_LNC049834)
Source: RNAcentral